AGUGAACGCUGGCGGUAGGCCUAACACAUGCAAGUCGAACGGCAGCACAGAGGAGCUUGCUCCUUGGGUGGCGAGUGGCGGACGGGUGAGGAAUACAUCGGAAUCUACUCUGUCGUGGGGGAUAACGUAGGGAAACUUACGCUAAUACCGCAUACGACCUACGGGUGAAAGCAGGGGAUCUUCGGACCUUGCGCGAUUGAAUGAGCCGAUGUCGGAUUAGCUAGUUGGCGGGGCAAAGGCCCACCAAGGCGACGAUCCGUAGCUGGUCUGAGAGGAUGAUCAGCCACACUGGAACUGAGACACGGGCCAGACUCCUACGGUAGGCAGCAGUGGGGAAUAUUGGACAAUGGCCGCAAGCCUGAUCCAGCCAUACAGCGUGGGCGAAGAAGGCCUUCGGGUUGUAAAGCCCUUUUGUUGGGAGAGAAAUCCAUCUGGUUAAUACCCGGGUGGGAUGACGGUACCCAAAGAAUAAGCACCGGCUAACUUCGUGCCAGCCGCCGCUGUAA
RNAcentral lists this ribosomal RNA (506 nucleotides) under uncultured bacterium. RNAcentral's name for it is "partial 16S ribosomal RNA". It matches the Rfam family "Bacterial small subunit ribosomal RNA", at positions 29 to 523 of the family's 1533-position model. The record is from RNAcentral.